UACGGAGGGUGCAAGCGUUGUCCGGAUUUAUUGGGUUUAAAGGGUGCGUAGGUGGCUCAUUAAGUCAGUGUUUAAAGUCAACAGCUCAACUGUUGGAAUGGCAUUGAUACUGAUGAGCUUGAGUAAAGUUGAGGUAGACAGAAUUGAUGGUGUAGCGGUGAAAUGCAUAGAGAUCCGGAGGAACACCAGCGGCGAAGGCGGCGUCCUGGACUGGUACUGACGCUCAGGAGCGAAAGCGUGGGGAGCGAUCCGG
Molecule: ribosomal RNA, 253 nt
Filed under: uncultured bacterium
Lineage: Bacteria
Description: partial 16S ribosomal RNA
Rfam family: Bacterial small subunit ribosomal RNA
Source: RNAcentral